RNAcentral lists this ribosomal RNA (600 nucleotides) under uncultured bacterium. RNAcentral describes it as "bacterial SSU rRNA". It matches the Rfam family "Bacterial small subunit ribosomal RNA", at positions 737 to 1341 of the family's 1533-position model. The record is from RNAcentral.
UAACUGACGCUGAUGCUCGAAAGCGUGGGUAUCGAACAGGAUUAGAUACCCUGGUAGUCCACGCGGUAAACGAUGGAUGCUCGCUGUUUGCCAUAUAUGGUAAGUGGCCAAGCGAAAGCAUUAAGCAUCCCACCUGGGGAGUACGCCGGCAACGGUGAAACUCAAAGGAAUUGACGGGGGCCCGCACAAGCGGAGGAACAUGUGGUUUAAUUCGAUGAUACGCGAGGAACCUUACCCGGGCUUGAACUGCCAGCGGACGAUUCGGAGAUGAUGAGGCCCUUCGGGGCGCUGGUGGAGGUGCUGCAUGGUUGUCGUCAGCUCGUGCCGUGAGGUGUCGGCUUAAGUGCCAUAACGAGCGCAACCCUUUUCCCCGGUUGCCAUCAGGUAGUGCUGGGCACUCCGUGGAUACUGCCACCGCAAGGUGUGAGGAAGGUGGGGAUGACGUCAAAUCAGCACGGCCCUUACGUCCGGGGCUACACACGUGUUACAAUGGCGCGUACAGAGAGCCGGUCCCUGGCAACAGGGGUCAAAUCCUUAAAACGCGUCGUAGUUCGGAUUGGGGUCUGCAACCCGACCCCAUGAAGCUGGAUUCGCUAGAAU